ACAUCAUUUCUCUCUCUUUCAUUCCAAACUUAUUUCUUUUUCUUCCUCACUUUCUCUCUCUUCCUCUUCCUCACAACUCUCUCAUGUAAACCUCACUCUCCCUCCAUGAAACCAUUUUUCCUCUACCUUCUUUCUUCAUUUCCGAUCAACUUCGGCUGCCUCACACAGAAAUAAAACCACCAUAAUAUUCCUCUCUUCAUCCUCUUCAAAACCCACUAAUUAAUUUAUAGAUCUAUCAAGUUCACUCAUGAGGUGAUUUCUAAAAUUGUUGUUUUCCGACCACCGUGGACUGCCUAUGGAGAAAUUAAGCAGAAUAUCUCCUUCACCAUGAAUGCUACAGUAAAACACACAAAAAUUUAUCUUCAUCGGAGAAACUUCGCCAGUGACCAGCGCACCGGAAUUCGCUUCCGCGGCGCCGGAGUUACAAUCAGAAGCUUCUUUUAUUUUCAUUCAGAUCUCUUCAAAGCAAUAGGUGGAGAAAAAAUAGAGGAAUUGGAACAACUGCAACAUGUUGUGAUCCAUAUCUUUGUUUUCCUUGGUUUUUGAAGAAAUUCCACAUCCAUAUAUAAUCAAGAUAAAGAGAAGGGUUGUUCUUGAUGAUCUUAAACAAAUUUUGAAGCGUUACAUGAGAGAUCAAGAUUUGUAUUUGAGAUUAAUGGCCAUGAGGGCCUGUUUUGAUUGAUUUCAUGAUGCCCUUGCUUUUUGGCUGUUGCGGUUCUAUGAACUAAGGAUCAAUGGAAGGUUACAGAGAUGAAACAAUAUGUAAGGGUGGAAUUGAGUUCCCUAUGAUACAAAACUGGAACAGUUAUGAUGGGGUACCUGGACAAGAACCUGUUUUUAAUUCUUUCAUGCAUUUGAUGGUUAAGAUUAAAUAGGUAUGCAAUUUAACAAUAUUAGAUUUACCCUGGGAUUGACUUUUAAUUUUAAUUUUUUUUAAAUAGUACCUCUUCUUAAUGUUAGUGUGGAAGAUAUCACAACCAAUUACACGUUUGAGAGUUUCUCCUUCAAGGUAUCUAAUUAAUUCUACCCUUCCUAUCUUCAGCCAUCUGUUAGACUAUGUUUUCUCAGCUAGGUUGCAUUUUGUUUUUAUCACCUUCCUAUUUAAUUUCAAUCUCCCUACUGUAGUUCCUUUAAAGAAUAUUCAUUUUUGUUUGUUAGAAAAUUCACUAUUGACUUUGCAGAGCCAUUUCAUAGUGCUGAAUUAAGAUUUUUACAUAAAUGAUCAUAAAUCAAUGAUUGUUGGAAAAUUGAUACUAGAGAGGCAGAGUCAUUUUUUUUACCAAAUGACUGCAAUAAACCAAGUUACUUGUCUGUUUUGAAUCACAAGAACACAUUAAAUUUGAUAUUGUCUGUGUUAAAUGCAAUGUUCAUUCAAGUUUUAUUCGAAUUCAUUUUCCCUUUUGGAAUGGCGAUGAAGAAUUUAAUGAUAAAAUUAUUGUAGAUUAAACAGUUUUCACUUGCACUCAUUUGAAGACUAAUAAAACAAUCUCCCUACUUAAUAUCAUUGACUUAUAAAUUUGCUGGUAUAGGCAAUAUUGGAGCAAUGGGGGACUAGCAUGUGACUAAUUUUACAUGGAUAGGAAGGUGUUGCUAUAAGCUUCUGCAACAAGUAUAAGAGUGAAUACAACUGUCUAUCAAGUUCUUCAAUAGUGUGUUACAUACAAAAACAAUAGACAAUUAUUUAAAAAAAGUAUAUAGAUUGAUUGAAAGGCAAAAAAUAUUAGACAAUUGUGUAUUAAGUUCUUUAUCAAAUUUGUAACUCAAAACUGAUUAAAUUGAUAUAAAUGAUGUAUGAUUUACGGGAAGCAUAACAGAUGCUUACUUAUUUGUGAAGUAGAUGUUUAAGCUAUUAUUGACAAUGACUUUUUACUAA
This is a long non-coding RNA of Medicago truncatula (barrel medic), 1873 nucleotides long. RefSeq lists it as uncharacterized. NCBI's taxonomy places the organism in Eukaryota, Viridiplantae, Streptophyta, Magnoliopsida, Fabales, Fabaceae. The record is from RefSeq and is a predicted model, not a curated record. The transcript is spliced from 6 exons.